RNA transcript from Candoia aspera, 2900 nucleotides. It is a transcript of the gene named paraspeckle component 1, with no coding region annotated. The record is from RefSeq and is a predicted model, not a curated record. Lineage: Eukaryota; Metazoa; Chordata; Lepidosauria; Squamata; Candoiidae. The transcript is spliced from 10 exons.
CGCCAUUUUGGGCUUCAUUUUUUUCCUCCCCUCCCCCUCCUCUGCUGGUACAGGAGUCGAAAGAAGCAGCGGCCGAGCAGAGAGGUUUGCCUGCGCUUUCUUUUCCUCCUUUCCGACUUACUCGCGAUCCAUACGGUUAGAAAACUCGAGCUAUGUCCGCCAACAGGAACCUCAAGCAAGUGAGGAUUGAAAACAGCUCUCCGGCGUCGGCUCCUCCGAUGAGCAUGGUGGGCGGCGGCCCCAUGAAGGCGCUGAGGGGUUUGGAGCAGCCGACCGAGAAUGAAGCUCUGGCAGCCGCCAUGGUGAUGGUGAAGGAGGAAGAGGAGGAAAGCGGCGGAGGCUUCACAGUCGACAUUAAGAGCUUCCUCAAGCCCGGCGAGAAGAGCUACACGCAAAGGUGCCGUCUCUUCGUCGGGAAUCUUCCCACCGACAUCACCGAGGAGGAUUUCAAACGCCUUUUCGAGCGCUACGGGGAGCCCAGCGAGGUCUUUAUUAACCGCGACCGCGGCUUCGGCUUCAUCCGCCUGGAGUCUAGGACCCUGGCUGAAAUAGCAAAGGCAGAACUUGAUGGAACAAUUUUAAAGAGCAGGCCACUCCGAAUUCGAUUUGCUACCCAUGGAGCUGCUUUAACAGUUAAGAAUCUUUCACCAGUUGUUUCCAAUGAGCUUUUGGAACAAGCUUUCUCUCAGUUUGGGCCUGUGGAAAGAGCGGUUGUUGUCGUAGAUGAUCGUGGUAGAGCAACAGGCAAAGGUUUUGUGGAAUUUGCUGCGAAACCUCCAGCGCGUAAAGCUCUAGAAAGAUGUGGUGAUGGUGCAUUCUUGCUUACAACAACACCUAGACCUGUUCUUGUUGAACCUAUGGAGCAAUUUGAUGAUGAAGAUGGGUUGCCUGAGAAAUUAAUGCAAAAAACACAACAGUAUCAUAAGGAAAGAGAACAGCCCCCACGUUUUGCCCAGCCUGGAACAUUUGAAUUUGAAUAUGCUUCACGAUGGAAAGCUCUUGAUGAAAUGGAAAAGCAACAGCGGGAACAAGUUGAUAGAAAUAUUAGAGAAGCUAAGGAGAAGCUAGAGGCAGAAAUGGAAGCAGCUCGACAUGAACAUCAGUUAAUGUUGAUGAGACAAGAUCUAAUGAGGCGUCAGGAAGAAUUGAGACGCUUAGAAGAACUUCGAAACCAGGAGCUACAGAAAAGAAAGCAGAUACAAUUAAGGCAUGAAGAAGAACACAGGAGACGUGAAGAAGAGAUGCUGCGCCAGAGAGAACAGGAGGAAUUGAGGAGACAGCAAGAAGGAGGUUUCAAGCCGAAUUUCAUGGAUACUGAAGCUGUUAAGAUUCUGAAGUGUGGCUGAAGAUGCAAAAUCAGCUGGGAAGGAUGAAUUCUUUCUAGUAUUUCAGGACAGUUGCACUAAACAGAGUUAAGCAAGCUAUGCUGUUGGAGUCAUCUUGACAAAAAGGAAGAAUCCUCUAAGAACAUAUUUUCCUUGCUAAUCUCAUAACUUGAAAUUUUGGGUCUUAGAAGCAGGGCGGAGUGUACAGAACGAGACAAGAUGCUUUACUAUGGUUGGCCACAGAGUAUCCUUUUCAGGUUGGAGUAAAGCUUCAAAACUUCAUUCACCUUUUGCCUGAAGAAUCUGCCCUGAAACUUAAGAGCACCAAGCUACAUGGUUAAGUAUAAUGCUCCUGUGAAACUGAAGAAAGCUAUAUCUGCAUAAGAACAACAAUGCUUGAAUUAAGUACUUGUGAAAACUGUGUAAGCUUUUAGUCAUUAAAUAAUUCCAAAGUGUGGUUUAUGCUUGCUCCUUCAUUUUCAUUUUUCCUGUGUAUUAGCAUUGGGAUAGGGAUUCCUAUGUUACAAUUCCCAUUUUACAAAUCCCAUUAUAGGAGUAGCCUUGGAAGAAUGUAAUUGCUUUUCCCGUUCUUAGCCACAGUUACUGCGUGUGAAUACCUGGCUACCAAUAUCACAGCAUCCAGCAAGCCUUAAAGGAAUAGGUUUUUGCUAGUACUUCUAAUACUUCUAAUAGAAGAGAAUAUACGUAGCCCAGGGUUGAACUGUGGAGUCCUUGGUGCUCUCUGACUUUGAUGGUUUGCUUGCAGACCUUUCAUUACCCGAUUAGGUAACAUCAUCAGUUCUGGUGAGUGUGGGGUUUGCUCCCUGUUUAUAUGCAGUACCUUGCCCUGCCAGCGUUGGUGGGGACGUGGUUUUCUCCUUGGUAGUUCCUUGAUUAGAGUAUUGUUUGCUGCUUGUUUGUCUGUUGUUAAUCCCUGUUUAUCUGGGUGUUGGCUGCUGGAGGGGAUGUGUUCUGGUCUUUUUGUUUCCUUCUUGGCUUUUUUUUUAUUGUCACCCAGAUAAGCAAUGUGUUCUCAUGUACACACUGCUCAAGAGACAAUAAAAAAGUUUACUCAUGAACACUUAAGCAAAGACCAGGACUUCUGGAACAAUAUGCUCUGAACAGAAGAGGCAAAGAUAGAGUUACUUGGCCACAGUACCAGAAGACAUGUUUAGCAAAAAAACAAAGAGCAUUUCACCAGAGCCUGAUACCAACUGUAAAGCAUGGUGGUAGAAAUGGUAUGCUUUGGGGCUGCUUUACUGCAUCAGGGCCUGGGCAGCUCACCAUCCCAGCAUCUGCUAUGAAUUCUUCAUUGCACCAGAGAGAGCUUGAGGAUAACGUGAGACCAUCUGUCAGAAGACUGAAGCUCAACCAAAAGUGGACUUGCAAUAUGACAAUGACUCUAAACAUUCCAGUAAAUGCACCAAGGAAUAACUGAAAAAAAGAAAUGGAGGGUUCUAGAAUGGCCAAGUGAAAGCCCAGAUCUAAAUCCCAUCAAGAUGUUAUGGGGUGAUUUGAGGGCUGUGCAUGCAAGAAACCCCUCAAACAUUGCACAGCUGAAAAAAUUCUGCAUGG